AUCGAACGCUGGCGGCAUGCCUUACACAUGCAAGUCGAACGGCAGCACGGGUGCUUGCACCUGGUGGCGAGUGGCGAACGGGUGAGUAAUACAUCGGAACAUGUCCUGUAGUGGGGGAUAGCCCGGCGAAAGCCGGAUUAAUACCGCAUACGAUCUACGGAUGAAAGCGGGGGACCUUCGGGCCUCGCGCUAUAGGGUUGGCCGAUGGCUGAUUAGCUAGUUGGUGGGGUAAAGGCCUACCAAGGCGACGAUCAGUAGCUGGUCUGAGAGGACGACCAGCCACACUGGGACUGAGACACGGCCCAGACUCCUACGGGAGGCAGCAGUGGGGAAUUUUGGACAAUGGGCGAAAGCCUGAUCCAGCAAUGCCGCGUGUGUGAAGAAGGCCUUCGGGUUGUAAAGCACUUUUGUCCGGAAAGAAAUCCUUGGCUCUAAUACAGUCGGGGGAUGACGGACCGAAGAAUAAGCCCG
Molecule: ribosomal RNA, 471 nt
Filed under: Burkholderia cepacia
Lineage: Bacteria; Pseudomonadati; Pseudomonadota; Betaproteobacteria; Burkholderiales; Burkholderiaceae
Description: bacterial SSU rRNA
Rfam family: Bacterial small subunit ribosomal RNA
Source: RNAcentral